CGUCCUGAUACGGAAAUGAAACGGAGCUUUUCCGAAUGCAAUGGUUCAUCAAAGGUAUAUUAUCGUAGUAUUUCGCACAUAAUGGUCCAUCAUCCAGAGUUCACUAUACCCACUAUUGCUGUAUCCGUCCUGUGUAUCCACCGGCAACAGAACAGAUAGAUAUCAAUCUAUCGUAUACCAUGUGCUUCGAUAUAUAGUGAAGAAAUAUCCUACUGGAAAGCCGACCACCAUCGGGUCCAAUCAAGUCAGUCGGUGUCGAGUGCGUAAUCGGUACGGUCGGGUCAAAAGGUGCUCCUGAUAAAUUUAUGGAACGUGAUACACAAAUCAAGGCAAACUAAAAUGUCGCGUCGAUUCACAUGUUGAAUGCCGUUAGGUCUAACUCGAAUUUGAGGUUUAAAAUUUAGUGAAAUUAGGAAUUUAUUCCGAAGUGUUUGGAAGUAUCCAGUAGGUGGUAAAGUAUGAUCACUUGAAGCAUGUUCUUGGUUUCCAGAGUAGUAACUGUUCGUAAAUAAAAUCAGAAUUUUAAUUUUUGAAUUAAUUGAAGCGAAAUAAAUAUUCACAGACUGUGUCUAUAGCUAGACUUGCUGAAGAGAGAGAGUAGUUGUUUCGGCGGCAAACAAAUAUACGGUGUCGCAUUGUUUGAACCAAAUAGUGGCCAACUAAUAUUCGUUUUGGUGAAAUUGAUGGAUUAUAAUGAAGAGCAUCAAAAAUUGAAUCAGUGAUUACUAAACCCAACGAAAACGUGAUCAACGAUUUCUAACGAUCGGCAGCUAUAUGUUGAAACACAUAACGAAAUUGCCUAACCUUGGAAAAUAAAGUUAGAUGUAGUGCAUUGUAGUGUUUUCAAAGUUUAAUAGUGUAUGAAAAUCAAAAUUUAAUAAGCAGAUAGCAGCGCUACAUAUCCAAUUUCCAACACAACAGAUAAUUCAUCAAGCAUCGAACAACUCAUGUUAAAUUCAGCUUAUCAAGAAACCUGGUUAAUGAUUUCCACGAAAAAA
Molecule: long non-coding RNA, 998 nt
Organism: Aedes aegypti (yellow fever mosquito)
Lineage: Eukaryota; Metazoa; Arthropoda; Insecta; Diptera; Culicidae
Exons: 2
Source: RefSeq, a predicted model, not a curated record